This 203-nucleotide long non-coding RNA is filed under the name Elaeis guineensis (African oil palm). RNAcentral describes it as "long non-coding RNA (EGUI_LNC010363)". Lineage: Eukaryota; Viridiplantae; Streptophyta; Magnoliopsida; Arecales; Arecaceae. The record is from RNAcentral.
CGGGUGAGAUAUUUUAGCCUUUAAUCACUCUCAUGAAAUUAAGAGAGGUGGUUACUUCUAAGUCUAUCCACUUAGGGUGGAUAGCUGCUGCACAUAUCAAGAGACUCAUUGAUCAAAAUAAUGAAGGCAGCUCACAUGCUGAAUAGGCCAUGCAGCAAAUAAAAUGUAGAUAGUUCGGUUCCGCAUAUUUCAACUCUGUACUU